UCAUAAUUUAAAACGAGUUAAUUGCCUGUCAGUCAAUUUACAGGAGUGCGCUCUACGGACAUGACAUCUCUGCCACACAGCUUAAAUACUCAAUGCGGCUCACUAAACUUAAUUUGGAAAACUUCUGGCUUUUGGAAAAUCGCUUUGCAUUGCCUUUCAGUGCCUGCUAAUGAAACCGGACUUCACAUACGAGUACGUGCAGGUCAGGACGCUCUCAGGAUGGACAUUGGGAAAAGUGCAAGCAACUUUUCUUGGUCGUUUUUCGUAGAUAUUUCUUUUAAUUCUGGCCCGCAGACGUAACUCUUUUAUUUUCAUACAUUUCCAAAGGGGCCAAAACUAAAAGCCAGAAGACGGCUCUGCCAUAGACACAGGCAAAAGCAGAG
RNAcentral lists this long non-coding RNA (383 nucleotides) under Drosophila guanche. The record is from RNAcentral. Lineage: Eukaryota; Metazoa; Arthropoda; Insecta; Diptera; Drosophilidae.